GAUCAUGAUUUGGUUUUGAGGGCAAUGUCCAGGGCUCUUGAAGUUACUGAGUUAGCGUACCUGGAUAUGACAGAUAGAGUUCUUGAUCGAUAUCCGGAGCUAGCACUUAUGGGGUCUUGUUUGUUGGUUGCUUUAAUGAGAGACGAAGAUGUGUAUGUAAUGAACGUAGGAGAUAGUCGUGCUAUUGUGGCAAAGUAUGAGCCUGAGGAGGUUAGUUCUACUUCAGAAUCCAAAGGUCCACGUAAUGCUGGGUUGACUGUUGAGGGCAUUGUUGAAGAAACAAGUGCCUGCAAUGAGGAGAAUAAGGUGACAAAUGAGGCACCUGUUCAGGGUAUGAAGCUGACUGCAUUGCAAUUAUCCACUGAUCACAGCACUAAUAUUGAAGAAGAAGUUAUUAGAAUCAAGAGUGAGCACCCAGAUGACAGCAAUUGCAUUGUCAAUGGUCGGGUAAAA
RNAcentral lists this unclassified non-coding RNA (453 nucleotides) under Hevea brasiliensis (rubber tree). The record is from RNAcentral. Lineage: Eukaryota; Viridiplantae; Streptophyta; Magnoliopsida; Malpighiales; Euphorbiaceae.